This 296-nucleotide ribosomal RNA is filed under the name uncultured bacterium. RNAcentral's name for it is "partial 16S ribosomal RNA". It matches the Rfam family "Bacterial small subunit ribosomal RNA", at positions 335 to 648 of the family's 1533-position model. The record is from RNAcentral.
UAGCCUACGGGGGGCAGCAGUGGGGGAUAUUGCACAAUGGGGGGAACCCUGAUGCAGCGACGCCGCGUGGGUGAAGAAGCGCCUCGGCGCGUAAAGCCCUGUCAGCAGGGAAGAAAAUGACGGUACCUGACUAAGAAGCCCCGGCUAACUACGUGCCAGCAGCCGCGGCAAUACGUAGGGGGCAAGCGUUAUCCGGAUUUACUGGGUGUAAAGGGAGCGUAGACGGCUGUGCAAGUCUGAAGUGAAAGCCCGUGGCUCAACCGCGGAACUGAUUUGGAAACUGUAUAGCUUGAGUA